AUGUCACUCAAGUGUUUCUUGCUCACCCUCUCUUUAUUUUCAAACCAUCCAUUAAACCGUCAGAUCAUUACAUUACUGUCCUCCUUGAAUGUCCCGGAUGCUAUCUUUUGGCAAAUGCAGAAAGACAUGCUGUCUAAUCUCAACAAUAUUUUGACAGAUACUGAUGUUGCUUUUGACGUUGUAUCCACCUCUUGUGCUGAUGAAGGAAACACCACAACACUGAUGUUGAGUGCUGGCAUUUUACCUGGAACUGAGCCGCACCUGAAAGCAUUGUUGUUGGCUAUAAGGUCCACACAACUACUGGGUUUGUUGGAAAAAUCAAGGAUUUUUGUCCCCAAGGCAAGGUGGUUGAUGGGUUGCCUUGAUGAACUUGGGAUCCUUGAGCAAGGACAGUGCUUUAUUCGGGCCUCAUCUCCAGUACUCAAUAAUUCUCUGGUGAAGCAUGGACCAAGAUUUUCCUCAGCAAACAGCAAUGCAGAGACCAUCGUAGGUACUGUUGUAAUGGCAAAGAAUCCAUGCCUUCACCCAAGGGACGUCCAGAUCCUUGAAGCCAUUGAUGUACCUGCUUUGCAUCACCUUGUUGAUUGCUUGGUCUUUCCUAAGAAUGGUGAGAGGCCACAUGCCAAUGAGGCAUCUCGGAGUGAUCUUGAUGGGGAUCUAUACUUUGUGACAUAG
RNAcentral lists this ribosomal RNA (675 nucleotides) under Triticum aestivum (bread wheat). RNAcentral describes it as "partial small subunit ribosomal RNA". The record is from RNAcentral. Lineage: Eukaryota; Viridiplantae; Streptophyta; Magnoliopsida; Poales; Poaceae.